AGAGGCUCGCGUCCACGGCGUCACGGGCGGGACCGUGAAUGGGAGAGAGCGAGCUGUGGGCGACAGGUGCACACAUGAGGCGGCUAGGGAACCGCCCUGCGCGCGGGCGCAGGAGCAUGCUUUGGCUCAUCAGCAUCGAGGUGAGCGGCUGCCUUGAUUCGGUGUGGGCCGGCGUCGGGAGGAGUGCUCGGAGCUGGUGGGUUUGGGAUGAAAUUAUGGGGGAAUCGCUGGAGUUUGAGACAGCUCUGUUCGGAUUUGAUUUGGGCUGAUGCGCGUCUCGUGCUCUGAGGUUGAUUUCGGAGAUUCAAUUUGCUGCUGCGUAGGAUUUUACUAUUUCUCUCUGCACUGCUGGGGAGAAAUUUUUAUAUUUGACACUGAAUACACAGAGCCCACAUGAAAAGACAACAUUGCCCCCAUCUCUCCUCUUUCAUGCGCCUCUCUCCCUCUUCGCUCUCUCGCUCGCGGCGGCGCACUGUGCCGGCGAGCGCUGCGCGGGGGCGUCGGGAUGGCAAUCCGAUCUCCCGUCCGUCGUGGAAGCGGUGGAUGGACCUCCGGUUGGUCGCCGUCCGAUCACGCCCACGACGCGCUGCUCCGGUUGCUGCCGUGGCUGAGGACUUCAUCUGGUGCCGCUCCAACGAGUCCCCGCGCUGGGAAGGGUGGUGGUCGGCGGCGAGGCAGCUCGUGCAGGACAACAGGUGCAGUCUAGCCGUCUCGGCGAGGCUAAGGACGUGGUGUUGUGUGAUUUCUUUGAGACUUGGAUGAUUCUGAAACGCGCGUAACUGCAGGCUGCCUCUGAUGGCUUCCUGCUUGUGCUGUGAGCUCCCAAGUUAGUAGGUUACCCAAACAUUGCUUAGCUUGUUGGUGCUGGAGAAUAUGAACAUCCGAUUCAUUGAUCAGCCAUGGUGAAAAUGGAGUGAUCAACAUUUCUCGAUAUAAGCUGUUUGAGAUGAGAUGUUUCUGUAAGCUGACAGUAAUAUGAUAAGAACCCAUUUGGGGUUCCAAUAAAAUGCCUAAUGUUUGUGUAA
Long non-coding RNA from Panicum virgatum (switchgrass), 1025 nucleotides. RefSeq lists it as uncharacterized. NCBI's taxonomy places the organism in Eukaryota, Viridiplantae, Streptophyta, Magnoliopsida, Poales, Poaceae. The transcript has 2 exons. The record is from RefSeq and is a predicted model, not a curated record.